AGGACGAACGCUGGCGGCGUGCUUAACACAUGCAAGUCGAGCGGUAAGGCCCUUUCGGGGGUACACGAGCGGCGAACGGGUGAGUAACACGUGGGUGACCUGCCCUUAGCUCUGGGAUAAGCCUGGGAAACUGGGUCUAAUACCGGAUAUGACCUCGCGAUGCAUGUCGUGGGGUGGAAAGCCUUGUGCGGCUAGGGAUGGGCCCGCGGCCUAUCAGCUUGUUGGUGGGGUGAUGGCCUACCAAGGCGACGACGGGUAGCCGGCCUGAGAGGGCGACCGGCCACACUGGGACUGAGACACGGCCCAGACUCCUACGGGAGGCAGCAGUGGGGAAUCUUGCGCAAUGGGCGAAAGCCUGACGCAGCGACGCCGCGUGAGGGAUGACGGUCUUCGGGUUGUAAACCUCUUUCAGCCCUGACGAAGCGAAGUGACGGUAGGGCAGAAGAGCGACCGGCCAACUACGCGCCAGCAGCCGCGGUAA
This 481-nucleotide ribosomal RNA is filed under the name uncultured bacterium. RNAcentral describes it as "SSU rRNA". It matches the Rfam family "Bacterial small subunit ribosomal RNA", at positions 26 to 523 of the family's 1533-position model. The record is from RNAcentral.